This 253-nucleotide ribosomal RNA is filed under the name uncultured bacterium. RNAcentral's name for it is "partial 16S ribosomal RNA". It matches the Rfam family "Bacterial small subunit ribosomal RNA", at positions 524 to 776 of the family's 1533-position model. The record is from RNAcentral.
UACGUAGGGUGCGAGCGUUGUCCGGAGUUAUUGGGCGUAAAGAGCUCGUAGGCGGCCUGUUACGUCUGCUGUGAAAUCCCGGGGCUUAACCCCGGGCGUGCAGUGGAUACGGGCAGGCUGGAGGCAGGCAGGGGAGAACGGAAUUCCCGGUGUAGCGGUGAAAUGCGCAGAUAUCGGGAGGAACACCGGUGGCGAAGGCGGUUCUCUGGGCCUGUACUGACGCUGAGGAGCGAAAGCGUGGGGAGCGAACAGG